GUAUAGCCCAUCUAGUUCGAGAUUGUCCUACAAAGACUAAUGCCAGGACAAAAGAAGCUAAAGCAAUAGAAUGCUUUAAUCUUAAUCUCCUUAAGACAGAUGAUGAUAUGCUUUCAGAAGAAAGUGUGUGGUCAAUUUACAGCAUAGUAGAAGAAUAUCUAGAAGAUAUUCCAGAUGAAUAUUUACCAGAACAAGAGGAAGAACUUCUUGAUAUUUUUCAGAAAAAUAUUAAUUUUAUGGAAAGAAAUAUAAAAAUUGAUAAUUUUGAAUCUCUUGUUGCAGGCUUGGAAUGUCAAUAUCAAUGGCAAAAGCGUGGCACACUCUCAGUUGAAUGUUUUAUUUGUCAUUUUUAUCCAGGUAAACAGAUCCGGAUACAAUGCUUCAGAUGCAGGUUAGAAGCUUGUAUUCCUUGUGUAGAAAAACAAUUUAAUACCAAGCUUAAUUUUCCAGAAGUUAGCCCAAUUUCUAUUUCCAAUAGAAUUUCCGAAAGAACUAUCCUUAAUCUUCAGGGCUGGAGCCGGUAUAGAUUAUGAAUCAUCUUAUGGGAAGGUUCGCGCAAAUGAUACUAUUCUGAAGCUUCAAAGAACAGAACCAUAUUAUAAAAGGAACCGUGCACAUAUUUGCGGUUUCUACAUCCGUGGUGCAUGCACAAGAGGUGAUGAGUGUCCUUACAGGCACGAGAUGCCCAUAACUGGGGAGUUGUCAAAGCAAAAUAUUGAAGAUCGUUACUACGGAGUCAAUGAUCCAGUGGCGCUUAAGUUACUUAACAAGGCUGGAGAUAUGUCUUCUUUGGAACCUCCUGAUGAUAAGAGCAUAAAAACCCUCUAUGUGGGUGGGGUUAAUGCCAGCAUCACUGACCAAGAUUUAAGGGAUCACUUUUAUGCUUACGGAGAGAUCUAGUCUGUUAAGAUGGUGUUACAACGAGCCUGUGCUUUUGUAACCUACACAACCAGAGAACGGGCAGAAAAAGCUGCUGAAGAGCUGUCAAAUAAACUGGUAAUAAAGGGUUUGAGGUUGAAGCUUUCGUGGGGUAGACCACAGGCACCAACAGCAGGAAGUAGCUCAUAGCGGGUUGUUGUCUCGGGGUGUCAUAUCUCAGCAGCAAAGCCAAUUGCAACCGGGUGGAACUCAUUACCAAGGCACAUCGAUUCAAUACUACAACAUCCCUCCUCUAUCUCAGCAGGAGAGUGCCUAUUAUCCAUCAAUGGACCCUCAAAGAAUGGGUGCCUCUGUUAAUUUGCAAGAGGGGGGUCUCAGUGGGACGGAGAAUCUGCUACAACAGCAUUAUGCAUUUCAAGCUAUCCUUCCACUACAGGGGCAAGACCGAAGGCAAUGUUAUCCUCAAUAUAUGGCUCCGCUACCACCUCACCACUAGUACCCUCCUUAUCACUCUGCAAUGCCACCAUCACAGCCUCAGUGUCUGCACCAUCAGGAUCUGCUCCUCCAGGAUCUAAAAUAACAUCAGGUUGGGUCUGACCUUCCACUUUCCCAUGUAACACUUGUUUGUCAACUUUCUCCAAAACCAAAACACAAUUUACACAAAAUUUUACUUGCUUUUUUUAGGACUUGUUACCAUAUUGUCAUUCAAUUAAAUUCAAUGUGGAUUCAACAUAAAUAAAUGAAAAAAUAAAUUCAAUACAAAAGUCUUCUCUCA
Molecule: RNA transcript, 1654 nt
Organism: Ziziphus jujuba (common jujube)
Lineage: Eukaryota; Viridiplantae; Streptophyta; Magnoliopsida; Rosales; Rhamnaceae
Gene name: zinc finger CCCH domain-containing protein 40-like
Exons: 3
Source: RefSeq, a predicted model, not a curated record